UACAGAGGUCCCGAGCGUUGUUCGGAUUCACUGGGCGUCAAGGGUGCGUAGGUGGCGUGGUAAGUUUGAUGUGAAAGCUCAGGGCUUAACCCUGAAAUGGCAUUGAAUACUACUGUGCUGGAGGUUUGGAGGGGGGACUGGAAUUCUUGGUGUAGCAGUGAAAUGCGUAGAUAUCAAGAGGAACACCAGUGGCGAAGGCGAGUCCCUGGACAACACCUGACACUGAGGCACGAAAGCGUGGGGAUCAAACAGG
This 253-nucleotide ribosomal RNA is filed under the name uncultured bacterium. RNAcentral describes it as "partial 16S ribosomal RNA". It matches the Rfam family "Bacterial small subunit ribosomal RNA", at positions 524 to 776 of the family's 1533-position model. The record is from RNAcentral.